CACGUUCCCUGGCUGGAUGCGACACGGGGCGGGGAGGAGCCGCCCGGCCGCUGCGUGCGGGGGCUCUGCGCGCUCUUAAGAGACGGGGAGCGGCAGCUGGAGACAGUCUGUGCCUUCCUGUGUGUCCGAGGCUGGGCCAGCAAACACGUCCCUCGACGACUGUCCAACCUUUGAAACUGUGGAGCUCCCGGCAGGUUUCGGUUGGCUCUGGUGGAGAUAUCAGGUACACUGGCUUUUUUGUAGUUAGAAUCCUAAACGUGUAAUUGAAGGGCUGAGUUUUAAACCACCAGUUUUGGCUUCUUGAUUUUGCAAGAUGCAUCAUUACACGCAUAGGUAUGUAAUUUACAUAGAGCACACCAAGAAAUUAUUCGAGAUACACAAGGUGAGUAACCAAUAAAUUUUUACAUAUGUAUGUACAGAAUCACAGAAUCUGUGAGGUGGCAAAAGACCUCUGAGAAAAUCAAAUCGAACCUUUGACUGAACACCACCAUAGCAACUAGACCAUGGCACUGAGUGCCACAUCCAGUCUUUACUUAAAGACUUCCAAGGACAUAGGUUGCACCACCUCCCUGCCAGCCCAUUCCAAUGUCUAAUCACCAUUUUCUGUGAAGAAAUUCCUCGUGAAGUCCAACCUAAACCACCCCUGACACAGCCUGUGGCUAUGUCCUCCUGUCCUGUCUCUUGAUAGCUGGGAGAAGAGGCUGACCCCCACCUGGCUGCCCCCUCCUUUCAGGUGGUUGUAGAGUGAGAGGGCUACCUCUGAGCCUCUUCUACAGGCUAAACAACCCCAUUCCUUCAGUCAUUCUUGUACUUGUGUGCAAGUACAUAAACAAAGGUUUUCCCAGCUAAGAGCUUUUUAAAAAAACCCAAGCCAAACACCUAACCCUGCCCAGGGAGAAAAACAUGUUAGGAUACCUGCACGUUACAUAGGAUGGCUGAGAUGCCUGUUUGUUACUAGUUGCAAAUGGAAGGAACAGUCCUUCAGCCAGGAUGUGGAAGAGAAUUCCUUCCCAAAUACUGAGACUUUCAGUGUCCCAACUGCCAAAAACCAAAGCCACCUCCUACACCUUCCUGGAUGCGAGAAGCCCCAACUGCCCGCUAUCCAUCUGUCAAAAUUUAUAGAUCUCCUUAGACAAAUAUUAACAAUUCAGUCAUGCGCAAAGCCUGCGGCAUAUUGAAAAAAUUGGGAGAAGGAUAAAAUACAGUGAAUGUAAUGUAAAAAUAA
Non-coding RNA from Zonotrichia albicollis (white-throated sparrow), 1225 nucleotides. Lineage: Eukaryota; Metazoa; Chordata; Aves; Passeriformes; Passerellidae. The record is from RefSeq and is a predicted model, not a curated record.